GGGAAGUGGAGCUAACAGAGAGAGUUAACAUCAUCAUGGAGGGAAGUGGAGCUAACAGAGAGAGUUAACAUCAUCAUGGAGGGAAGUGGAGCUAACAGAGAGAGUUAUCAUCAUGGAGGGAAGUGCAUAGUGGAGCUAACAGAGAGAGUUAACAUCAUCAUGGAGGGAAGUGGAGCUAACAGAGAGAGUUAACAUCAUCAUGGAGGGAAGUGGAGCUAACAGAGAGAGUUAACAUCAUCAUGGAGGGAAAUGGAGCUAACAGAGAGAGUUAACAUCAUCAUGGAGGGAAGUGGAGCUAACAGAGAGAGUUAUCAUCAUCAUGGAGGGAAGUGGAGCUAACAGAGAGAGUUAUCAUCAUCAUGAAGGGAAGUGGAGCUAACAGAGAGAGUUAUCAUCAUCAUGGAGGGAAGUGGAGCUAACAGAGAGAGUUAUCAUCAUCAUGAAGGGAAGUGGAGCUAACAGAGAGAGUUAUCAUCAUCAUGAAGGGAAGUGGAGCUAACAGAGAGAGUUAUCAUCAUCAUGAAGGGAAGUGGAGCUAACAGAGAGAGUUAACAUCAUCAUGGAGGGAAGUGGAGCUAACAGAGAGAGUUAUCAUCAUCAUGGAGGGAAGUGGAGCUAACAGAGAGUUAACAUCAUCAUGGAGGGAAGUGGAGCUAACAGAGAGAGUUAACAUCAUCAUGGAGGGAAGUGGAGCUAACAGAGAGAGUUAUCAUCAUCAUGGAGGGAAGUGGAGCUAACAGAGAGAGUUAACAUCAUCAUGGAGGGAAGUGGAGCUAACAGAGAGAGUUAACAUCAUCAUGAAGGGAAGUGGAGCUAACAGAGAGAGUUAACAUCAUCAUGGAGGGAAGUGGAGCUAACAGAGAGAGUUAACAUCAUCAUGGAGGGAAGUGGAGCUAACAGAGAGAGUUAACAUCAUCAUGGAGGGAAGUGGAGCUAACAGAGAGAGUUAUCAUCGUCAUGAAGGGCAGAAAAGGACCCGAGACGGAUGUCGGAGCGGAAAAACAACUUGAUUAGAAAGGGAGGAAUACAUCUUGAUUAAAGGAAAGGAUGUUUAUUCAACUGUGAAGACAAACUUUGGAAUUAAAAACUGCUAAAUGAGUGAAAUUAAUGAAGUUUACAUGACUGAGGAAAAUAUUGCUGUGGUGGAGGACAAUGCUAAAGUGAAUGACAAUCAGGAUGUAACGGCCGUCGUCGGUGUAAGAAGGUGAGGACCAAAGCGCAGCGUGGGAAGUGUUCAUCUUCAUUAAUGGAAAAAAUGAAUAACAAACAACAAAGAAACAACCGGAACAGUUCUGUCUGGUGCAGACACACAAAGAC
Oncorhynchus tshawytscha (Chinook salmon) is the source of this 1317-nucleotide long non-coding RNA. Lineage: Eukaryota; Metazoa; Chordata; Actinopteri; Salmoniformes; Salmonidae. The record is from Ensembl.